UCACUAAGUACACAAAAAAUCCAAUUAAAUUGUUUCCAAAUAAUUAUAUUUUAGCACCAAAUCCAAUCGUUUUUGUGUUCGUUGCGGAAGACCGACACGCCAUAAUAAUAUCAUAAGUGAUAUUAUUACAGUGUCUCGGUUCGGUUAGGUUGUGCUGUAGAUUCCGAUGUCGUCUUGAUGACGCUUUGACCGCUGUAUAAAAUAUGAAAUGGGUACUAUACUGCAGCACUACUCACAGUCA
Cinara cedri is the source of this 241-nucleotide non-coding RNA. The record is from the annotation of a GenBank genome assembly. Lineage: Eukaryota; Metazoa; Arthropoda; Insecta; Hemiptera; Aphididae.